RNAcentral lists this unclassified non-coding RNA (3311 nucleotides) under Hevea brasiliensis (rubber tree). Lineage: Eukaryota; Viridiplantae; Streptophyta; Magnoliopsida; Malpighiales; Euphorbiaceae. The record is from RNAcentral.
UUCUUCGAAGCGAAGGAGCUUGCAUACAUUUGAGGUUACAAAGUUGUCAAAUCACUAGUAUAAUGUAAAGCCAUGGAAUCUUUAGCCGUCCAAGAUUUGCUUUGCUUUAGCAAAGAAAGCUUGCUUGUUAUCACGACAAUAAAAGCAGAUACUACACUAAACGUAACAAUGAAUCCUUUAUCUGGUAUAUAAAAUAGAACCUAUGCCAUGCUUUCAUGUACAACACACUUUACCCCUCAGCCAAUAGAAAUGAGGCAUUUUGACGGUCAGCUUGGGCAAUGUAAUUCCAGCAUUCCUUUGGGUAUGAACUCAUUAUUAUUCUCUUCAAACCCUCGGGACUUAGUUUUGUGGCUUUUUAAAUGGAUUAGCAGGACGCUGAGAUUUUACUUGAUUCACAUUUUCUUUCUUCUCUGUUUCUUGAUUGUUUGCUGACCUUACAAAUGGAUUAGCGGGGCGUUGAGAUUGUACUUUCAAAACUUCUGCAAUUUUCACCUGUCCCACACUGUUCACAUUUCCAGCAUUCUUUAACUUCUCUGCAUUCCCUACAUCCAAAUCAGUUUCCUUAUUUGCAGCAUGGCUGGGAUCAGAUUUUUCCGAUUCAUGGUUAUUCACUUUCUUGAUAAACAGAGGUGCUGACAGUUGUGGUGAUGAUAAUGGAAUACCAGGUUCCAAUGUUUCGCUUUUUCCUGAUGAAGAAAAGGUCUUGCUGUCUUUGACAUCAGCCCUCGUAGACACAACACUGCUUGAGUUUAGCAGAGAGUGAUUUAGAGUCUCCUUGGACUCAUUCAGCAAUCUUUCCUCCAAUAUGCUGUUGAAACGCUCUGCCAAAUUAGGAAGCUUCAAGGCAGUAACAAGCUUUAUUGCUCCUUUCACUGAUUUUUCUAGGGAUAAAAGCUUCACAAGUUCAGUAGCUCUUACAAGCUUGUCACCGUUGCAGCAUGAUGCAAUCAGCCUGAGGAUACAUCUAUCCUGAGCCGCUUCCAUAUUGAAUGCCUCAUCAUCAAGUGCAUUGGUAUCCAAACAAGACGCUGCCGUUUCUUCCAUUCUUUUCUGAAUCUGAGAGAGAUGCAUGUUGUUGAGGAUAAACUCAUUUUCAAGGGCAUCAGCUCCCAGAUCAGAGGAAGCAAGAGGAAAUGAAAAAUUCAGUAAUGUAAGGACUGGUUUGGGCAUCACCUGUGGGAACAAGUCAGGACUAUUACAAACAAUGCAAAACAAUUUGCUGGCAUUCAGUCCAACCAUCCAAUAGUUUUCAUCAGACUUCUUCUCUUUAGCAGCACUGAAGAGUGGGAGCCAACUGCCACCAUAUUGACUUGUGAAAACCCUCAAGACACCCUUUGAAUCGUAUGAACUUAAUUGGCCUUCUUCACUAAACCCAAACCACAUUAGAUGUGAGCCUGGGCUUAGUGGAAGACGUCCUCUAUGUGGCUGGGUCCCAUAGGAUAUGUCAAAUACUCUGAACUCUAGCAUCUGAUCAUUUGAGGGAAGACAAUCAGAAACAUGAGUGACAACUGCAAGUUGAUUUUUGAAGCCUGAUGCAGUCACAAUUGGCCCAUCAAGGGAGAGAAUAUGCUUCUGCAAACCACCCUCUGUGUAGAUGCGCAGAAAAUUAAGGCUAGUAACGGCAGCAACCCAAGCAGUGCCAAGAGCCACAACCUUCACUUCUUCCCCCUCAAACCGCAUAGACCACUCACUGUUGUUCGCCCAGCUACCAAAUGGGCGAUACAUAAGAGUACUCAUGUUUUUUUCACCCUUGCAAGGAUUUGCAAAAACACUUCCAUUCUCAUUAAGUGAAGCCAUUGUGAAACCAAAAUAGUCCGUCAUUGAAGGAACUCUUGGACCUCUGCCAGUAUCAUGGAAAUCGAUCUCUAUGUGGGAGUACCCAUCAUGUUCAAUUGUUGUUAUAGUUCCAAGCAUAUUGUAGCACAAAAAGCGCCUCUUCCCAGGCUGCACAGGAGUUGCCCCAGGAUGAAAAGCCUCCUGCAUUUUUGACCUAGCAGAUGUUGCUGUGAUUCUAAUUCCCUCGUUUCCCUUAUCCAUGUUUCCCUUCCCAGCACAAUGCACUUUUUUUCUGGGUUCAGUCUUUGGAAACCAGUUCAACUCAUCAUUGCUGUCUUCCUCAGGUUCUUCAUUAAAUUCAGAUCGUUUCCGUAAUCUUUUCCUGCUUGGCAGUUCAGAUUCUCCAAGGCUGUCUUCCCCAUGAUCACUUAAACUACCAGAUGCACUAGGUUCCUCCUCCUCAUCCUCCUCUUCAAACAAAAGGAGCCCAUUAUUGUUCUUUGACAGCAAACUUGGAAUAUCUUCUGUGGGGGAUUUCAUUGAAGAAGGAACAACUGAUUCCCAAAGACCAUACUUUCCCAUAACAUCAAUAACAGCCAACGCAUUACCAAUUGGCUUCCAUGCCAAACAACAUAUUCUCUCAUCAAAUUUCUGCCUGUCGAUGUCCUGCUUCUUAUCAACAUCCCAUAUCAGAACUUGCCUAUCUAAACCUGAAGUAGCCAUGUACUUGCCAUUAGGUGACCAAGACAAGAAACAUAUAGGUUGCACAUGAUCACCUCUCAAUGAGAACAGUUUUUCAGCAGUGUCUCUAUCAUACAUCACCACAUCAUUUCUUAAACCAGGGACUGCUAAAGUCUCCCCAUCAGGACUCCAGCUAAUUAUAUUCAUGAAGGAAGUGUCUGAAACAGCAUUAGGAGCAAUGCCUUUAAGGUUAUGCAACAUAUUGCCAGACUGUAGUUCCCAGAAUAUGACUGUCCCUAUUGAAUCAGCAGAUGCCAAAUACUCACUUUUAGGGUCAAAAGCCAAGCCAGUAACAGGUCCUUUAUGCCCUUUCAGAACCCUUGCAAUUGAACCAUCAAUUGUAUUAAUAAGUUUAAUGCCUUCAUCAUCACCAGCUGCAGCUAGCAUGCUGCCUGACUUAUUAAAUGCAAGUACACGUGUUGGCAGUGUGAAUCUGGUAAUAUUAGUAUCAAACUCACCACCUGGAAACUUGUAGAGCUUGACGGAAUGAUCAAUAGAUCCGGAGGCGAGGCAGGUGGAAUUUGUGCUGAGAGCUAGGGCUGUAACGCCGUCACGGUGGUGCCGGAGAAUCCUGGGCGCAUCUGAAAGGAGAAGAGUGUCAUGGAUGCAGAUGGUUGGGUCAGAGGAGGAGGCGGUGACCAGGUGUUGGGCCUUUUGGUCCCACAAGAUGGAGCAGAAGGAAGGCUGACUGCCAUUACUGGUGGAGGACUUGUUAGCUUCUCGUAGCUUGAGGGUACGAAUUUUCAUGGUGGUGAGAGAUUUGGAAGAGUGGAAAUGACUUGACCCUGAUUUUG